AACUAACGCUAAAAAAGUUACAGUUUCUGUACUUUAUUGGUACAUUGACUUUCCGGCUCAUAAAAAUGAGCCACAAUUUAUGAACAAAAACAGUUCUUCCGAAAGGAAGAAC
RNAcentral lists this unclassified non-coding RNA (112 nucleotides) under Dimastigella trypaniformis. Its description in RNAcentral is "trans-spliced leader sequence SL". Lineage: Eukaryota; Euglenozoa; Kinetoplastea; Neobodonida; Rhynchomonadidae. The record is from RNAcentral.